This is a long non-coding RNA of Passer domesticus (house sparrow), 2537 nucleotides long. RefSeq lists it as uncharacterized. The record is from RefSeq and is a predicted model, not a curated record. The transcript is spliced from 2 exons. Lineage: Eukaryota; Metazoa; Chordata; Aves; Passeriformes; Passeridae.
CCCAAGGAUGGGGCAUGCACAGCCUCUGUGCACAGCCUGGGCCAGUGCCCCACCACCCCCAGUGGAAAAGAGCAGCUUCCUUAGAUGCAGCUUCAAUCAACCUGCUGCAGUUGAAAGCCAUCCCCCCUUGUCCUGUCAGCACAGGCCCUGCUGAACACUCUGUCCCCUUCUUUCCUGCGGGACCCUUCCAGUCCUGCACAGCCACAGGGAGGCCUCCCAGUGUCUCCUCUCUCCAGGCUGAGCAUCCCCAGCCCCACUUGCCCAGCAGUCAGUCACAUCAGGGCCAGUCAAGGCUGCAGGGUAGCAAAUAGCAUCAGGAACUGAGAGAUGCAAGCUUUAGACCCAGGUUUUUCUGUUUGAAAGGAAGCUUGGCACAAUGUCCAUUGUCUUCUCCAUUUGUGAAACUCUAAGUGGAGUCUGGGCAGGCUGAUAUGCAGAGCAAAACCUGAAAAUACACUAGUGAUCCUGAGCCUGGGGGAUGCAGCUAAACCCAGCCAAAAGGAAUUUCUGGAAAGCUGAUCCUGGUUUACAUUAUCUUGAGUUUGGCUUUGCCAACUUCACCAGUCAUUUAUGAAAAACAAAAAAAAAGCUCAAACCAAAUCAGACAAAAACCCAAACAAACAAACAAACAAACCCAUGCAGCAAACCAAUCAAACAAAUAGAUAAAAAACCCCAAAUAAAACCAAAGGAAAUGAAGAGUUAGUAUUAGUUGCAAGGAUAGCACAGCAGGCAAAUGGCUGCUUGCCACAGGAUCACCAUCAAAAGCCACAUAGAACAGCUGCUCCAAAAUAUACCCAAGAGGAGAAAAAGAAAAAGUGAUGCAUGGCAACUUUGGGGGCAGCUCCACAUUCAGGUGAAGGAUGAGCACGCAGUGGUACAGAUCCAGCAUUGCCCACCCUCCAGGCUGCUGUUUGCUCCUGGUGAAAGACCCUUGCAGGACUGUGGCCCCUCUCAGUGCAGUGUCAGUCACUCCCAGAGCUCUCAGCUGAGCCACUGGCAUUUCCAGAGUGACAUCCAGUGGGAUACCCUUUUCGGUUUGUCUCCUAAUGCCCCAGGGGUCCUAAACAGUAUAUGCCAUCCCAUUUUUGUUCCGUUGAUAUUGACUGCUUGGUUUUAUUUUGUCAGCAGUUCUAUUCAUUAUGAAUUGGAAUAUGAUGAAAAAACUAAGGAAGUUAGCACCUAUAAUUAGUGCACAUAGCUUAACUGAUGCGGCAGCUCAUUUAAUGGUUGCUAGGAAAGAACUAGAAAGAUUUAAUGAACAAAAUUGGUAAAACAAGAAAUGGGGGAUUUGUAAUAAGUAGUUGUGGGAACUCAGUACAUCACUCCGGAUGUCCAGAGCUACCGAGACAACCCUUGGGGGGCUCGGAGGCCCUGGAAUGUUGCCAAAAGUACCUGGUGGCUUGACUUUUAUCCUUUUAAAGAAAUGACACCUGAAGGUGAGGAGAUGAGAGAAUUUCAGGUCUGAAUGGUGAGGGGUUGUUAUUCACUUGUUAGAACUCAAGUUAGAAUGCACUGUACAGGGGGGUUUUAUGUGUUGUACAGGGGGGUCUAGAAUUCUGUGCAUGGAUCAGGAGUCCCAAGAUGGAGGAAUUUGGGCGUGCCCUGUCCUUCUUCUUUCUUCUCCUUGGCAUCCAUGUUCAGGAUGAUGUUGGCAUGUGUGGAUUGGUUCAUAGAAAGAGUACACUUGCCAACAAGGGCAGAAAGUAUUGGGAAGUAAAGGUAAAUAUCUAAUAUGUAAUUUUCAUUAUAAAAGAGACAACCGCCUCGUGGGCGGGAGAGAGUGCCUUUGGCUGUCUUGCUGAUCAGACCUCGGCUGGACAGACAGAAAAUCUUUGUAGAUAAGAAAUAAUAAACUCAACUGAAGACCUAAAAGCAAGAGUCCAGACUCAUUCUUCGAGAGCGUGGCCUACCCAGAACCACUUUUUCCCGUGCUGGGGCAGAGACAAGUAACAGCUGACCCCGGCAAGUAGUAAUACAUUUGUUCAUUAAUUAAAUCAAUAGCUAAAUAACUAUAUGUUAUAAAACAAUAGUUAAAUAGCCAAAAAAACUUCUUGUGCAGAUACAUAUGGUUGCUGGUUUACUAUAGUGCUUUGGGAAUUCCAUUGUAAAGUUAUGCCUUGUGAAAGGAAAGUAAUGAGAAGCAGCUGUAACAACAAUCCUUAAACUUGCUAGAAUUGCUUAGCUUGCAGAAAGUGUAUAGUACUAGUAAGAAUUGCUUAACUUGCAGAAAAGUGUAUAGUGUUCUGUAUAGAUAUGCCUUAUAAGGCAUAAGUUCACUCAGCGUUCACAAAGAGGAAGACUAAGGGGGACUAAGCCUUCAUCCCACGACCACCAGAAGGCAGAAAAAGACCCCAUAGCAACUGAAUGAGCAAGCGCAGAAGACAGAUCACGUCAUCCCUAAACCCGGAGAAGAAGGCAAUAAAAGGUGGACUCAGGGGAUAGGAAUUUUGUGAGCCAAAGUGGAGCGGAGACUCCGGGUCGCCCAGCGCUGUCCUUGCUUAUUCUUGCUUGCAAAAAUAAUAAAGAUAAUUAUUUGA